AACACGGACCAAGGAGUCUAGCAUGUGCGCGAGUCAUUGGGAUAUAAUUAAACCUAAAGGCGAAAUGAAAGUAAAAGUUUGUUUUACACAGACUUAGGGAGGAUGAAUGGUUGUUUUUUCAACUGUUCCGCACUCCCAGGGCGUCUCAUACUCAUUGCGAGUGGAGGCGUACCAAGAGCGUACACGCUGGGACCCGAAAGAUGGUGAACUAUGCCUGGUCAGGACGAAGUCAGGGGAAACCCUGAUGGAGGUCCGUAGCGAUUCUGACGUGCAAAUCGAUCGUCGGAACUGGGUAUAGGGGCGAAAGACUAAUCGAACCAUCUAGUAGCUGGUUCCCUCCGAAGUUUCCCUCAGGAUAGCUGGCGCUUAUAGCGUACGAGUUUCAUCUGGUAAAGCGAAUGAUUAGAGGCAUUGGGGUCGAAACGGCCUCAACCUAUUCUCAAACUUUAAAUGGGUGAGAUCUUUGGCUUGCUUGAACUUUUGAAGCCAUAAGACUCGAAUCAAAGUGCCAAGUGGGCCAUUUUUGGUAAGCAGAACUGGCGCUGUGGGAUGAACCAAACGCCGAGUUAAAGCGCCUAAAUCGACGCUUAUGGGAUACCAUGAAAGGCGUUGGUAACUUAAGACAUCAGGACGGUGGCCAUGGAAGUCGGAAUCCG
RNAcentral lists this ribosomal RNA (656 nucleotides) under Rhizonium antiquum. RNAcentral's name for it is "partial 28S large subunit ribosomal RNA". It matches the Rfam family "Eukaryotic large subunit ribosomal RNA", at positions 658 to 1270 of the family's 3401-position model. The record is from RNAcentral. Lineage: Eukaryota; Metazoa; Arthropoda; Insecta; Coleoptera.